GGGCAGAGUCCUAUGAAUCAACUAAGUGCCCUUUUAAAAGGGCCUCUGCCCCUUCCACCAAGUGAGGACACAGCAAGAAGUCAUGCUCUAUGAGAAAGCUGGCUCUCACCAGACACCAGAUCUGCUGGCACCUUGAUCUUGGACUUCUCAGACUUCAAAACUGCUAAAUAAUGGCUCCCAAAGAUGUGUCUACAUCCUAAUCUCCAGAAUCUGUGAAUGUUACUUUAUGUGGCAAGAGAGAGGCUGAAGGAGAUUUGGUACCAACAGAAGAGGAGGAGGAAAUUGUGAUCAUGCAGAAACUGGAGUGAUGGAGUCACAAGCCAAGGAAUGCCAGCAGCCACCAGAAGCCGAAAGAGGCCCUGCCAACACCUUGAUUUAGGCCUAAUGAAACUGAGUUUAGAUUUCUGGACCCCAGAACUGUGAAAGAAUAAAUUUCUGUUGUGUUAAGCCCCUAAUUUUGUGGUAAUGUG
This 470-nucleotide long non-coding RNA is filed under the name Homo sapiens (human). RNAcentral describes it as "HSALNT0364824". The record is from RNAcentral. Lineage: Eukaryota; Metazoa; Chordata; Mammalia; Primates; Hominidae.